CCUACGGGGGGCAGCAGUAGGGAAUCUUCCACAAUGGGCGAAAGCCUGAUGGAGCAACGCCGCGUGGGUGAAGAAGUUCUUCGGAUCGUAAAACCCUGUUGUUAGAGAAGAAAGUGCGUGUGCGUAACUGUUAACGUUUCGACGGUAUCUAACCAGCAGCCGCCGUCUAACUACGUGCCAGCAGCCGCGGUAGUACGUAGGUGGCAAGCGUUAUCCGGAUUUAUUGGGCGUAAAGGGAGAGAAGGCGGUCAUUUAAGUCGUAGGUGAAAGCCUUCGGAUUAACCGGGGUAGUGCAUUGGAAACUGGGGGACUGGAGGGCAGGAGAGGAGAGUGGAACUCCAGGUGUAGCGGUGAAAUGCGUAGAUAUAAGGAAGAACACCAGUGGCGAAGGCGGCUCGCUGGUCUGUAACUGACGGUGAGGUGCGAAAGCGUGGGUAGCAAACAGGAUUAGAUACCCUAGUAGUC
RNAcentral lists this ribosomal RNA (465 nucleotides) under uncultured bacterium. RNAcentral's name for it is "partial 16S ribosomal RNA". It matches the Rfam family "Bacterial small subunit ribosomal RNA", at positions 338 to 795 of the family's 1533-position model. The record is from RNAcentral.